AUUGCUUCUCAGCCUUUUGGCUAAGAUCAAGUAUAGUAUCUCUUCUUUAUCAGUUUAAUAUCUGCUACAUCCUCUCUCUGAGGACAGUACAUGAGAUGGAUUUUGCUCCGUCUACUCCGUGCAUUGACCUGGUAUUGCAGUAUUUCCAGGAAUGGUGCAGCCACC
This 165-nucleotide small nuclear RNA is filed under the name Neogale vison (American mink). RNAcentral describes it as "Neovison vison (American mink) U2 spliceosomal RNA (ENSNVIG00000013037.1)". It matches the Rfam family "U2 spliceosomal RNA". From Rfam's summary of the family: U2 is a small nuclear RNA (snRNA) component of the spliceosome (involved in pre-mRNA splicing). Complementary binding between U2 snRNA (in an area lying towards the 5' end but 3' to hairpin I) and the branchpoint sequence (BPS) of the intron results the bulging out of an unpaired adenosine, on the BPS, which initiates a nucleophilic attack at the intronic 5' splice site, thus starting the first of two transesterification reactions that mediate splicing. Lineage: Eukaryota; Metazoa; Chordata; Mammalia; Carnivora; Mustelidae. The record is from Rfam by way of RNAcentral.